Non-coding RNA from Myotis davidii, 47 nucleotides. NCBI's taxonomy places the organism in Eukaryota, Metazoa, Chordata, Mammalia, Chiroptera, Vespertilionidae. The record is from Rfam.
UGUUCGGUUCUAUUCAGAACCAAUGAAUAUUUUAUAUUAGUUCAUCU